RNAcentral lists this ribosomal RNA (253 nucleotides) under uncultured bacterium. RNAcentral's name for it is "partial 16S ribosomal RNA". It matches the Rfam family "Bacterial small subunit ribosomal RNA", at positions 524 to 776 of the family's 1533-position model. The record is from RNAcentral.
UACGUAGGGGGCAAGCGUUGUCCGGAAUCAUUGGGCGUAAAGCGCGUGUAGGCGGCUCGGUAAGUCUGCUGUGAAAGUCCAGGGCUCAACCCUGGAAUGCCGGUGGAAACUGUCGGGCUAGAGUCCGGAAGAGGCGAGUGGAAUUCCUGGUGUAGCGGUGAAAUGCGCAGAUAUCAGGAGGAACACCGGUGGCGAAGGCGGGUCUCUGGGCCGAUACUGACGCUGAGGCGCGAAGGCUAGGGGAGCGAAUGGG